RNAcentral lists this ribosomal RNA (491 nucleotides) under uncultured bacterium. Its description in RNAcentral is "partial 16S ribosomal RNA". It matches the Rfam family "Bacterial small subunit ribosomal RNA", at positions 28 to 507 of the family's 1533-position model. The record is from RNAcentral.
GAUGAACGCUGGCUAUAGGCUUAACACAUGCAAGUCGAGGGGAAACGACGGGGAAGCUUGCUUCCCCGGGCGUCGACCAGCGCACGGGUGAGUAACGCGUAUCCAACCUGCCUCUGACUGAGGGAUAACCCGUCGAAAGUCGGCCUAAUACCUCAUGGCAUCGUCUGCGGGCAUCCAACGACGAUUAAAGAUUUCAUCGGUCAGAGAUGGGGAUGCGUCUGAUUAGCUUGUUGGCGGGGUAACGGCCCACCAAGGCGACGAUCAGUAGGGGUUCUGAGAGGAAGGUCCCCCACAUUGGAACUGAGACACGGUCCAAACUCCUACGGGAGGCAGCAGUGAGGAAUAUUGGUCAAUGGGCGAGAGCCUGAACCAGCCAAGUAGCGUGCAGGAUGACGGCCCUAUGGGUUGUAAACUGCUUUUAUGCGGGGAUAAAGUGAGGGACGUGUCCUUCAUUGCAGGUACCGCAUGAAUAAGGACCGGCUAAUUCCGUG